Molecule: ribosomal RNA, 390 nt
Filed under: uncultured bacterium
Lineage: Bacteria
Description: bacterial SSU rRNA
Rfam family: Bacterial small subunit ribosomal RNA
Source: RNAcentral
GACGAACGCUGGCGGCGUGCUUAACACAUGCAAGUCGAGCGGUAAGGCCCUUUCGGGGGUACGACGAGCGGCGAACGGGUGAGUAACACGUGGGUGACCUGCCCUCAGCUCUGGGAUAAGCCUGGGAAACGUGGGUCUAAUACCGGAUAUGACUCCAUGACGCAUGUUGUGGGGUGGAAAGCCUUGUGCGGCUGAGGAUGGGCCCGCGGCCUAUCAGCUUGUUGGUGGGGUGAUGGCCUACCAAGGCGACGACGGGUAGCCGGCCUGAGAGGGCGACCGGCCACACUGGGACUGAGACACGGCCCAGACUCCUACGGGAGGCAGCAGUGGGGAAUCUUGCGCAAUGGGCGAAAGCCUGACGCAGCGACGCCGCGUGAGGGAUGACGGCCU